Girardinichthys multiradiatus is the source of this 500-nucleotide long non-coding RNA. RefSeq lists it as uncharacterized. The record is from RefSeq and is a predicted model, not a curated record. The transcript is spliced from 2 exons. NCBI's taxonomy places the organism in Eukaryota, Metazoa, Chordata, Actinopteri, Cyprinodontiformes, Goodeidae.
AAUAAAGUUUAUUUUUAUACAUAUCAAGCAGAGCUUUAAAACGUUAGCUGUAAUGCUCCACUUGUGAAAAUAAAUCUGUUGGGCAUUUUUUUGGCACUCAGACAACUAUUCUGACGUUACUCUGCCGAACAGGAUACGGUUAAAGGAAAAAUAACACAGAUUCCAUCCUUCCACUCACAUGACCAAGCUGGAUUUUGUCUAUAGGUCAAGCUUUUACCCAGGCUCCACCCCCCUUUGGAGCUCCACCCCCUGUCUACCUCCAACUCUUACCACGGGCGCUGUGCCACCUGGUGGUGUUCUAUCCAUACUUCAUCUCCACUCUCCUCAUGGUGUCCUUAUAUCAGGACAGGACCACAGCUUCACCCAGCAGGACGACCAGAGAACGGCUGGACAUGAGAACGUCACCACUGAGCAUCAUUUCUGAGCAUCACUCAGAUGGUGGUUAUCUAAAUGUAAAUUGUUCAUUUACAUUAAAAAAUGUAAUUCAGAUUUUAUAUAAA